UUGGGUAUGGUUCAGUGGUGAAAGCACUUUCCUCACAUGUAUAAGGCCCUGGGUUCAAACCCCAGCACUGAAA
RNAcentral lists this transfer RNA (73 nucleotides) under Urocitellus parryii (Arctic ground squirrel). RNAcentral's name for it is "Spermophilus parryii (Arctic ground squirrel) tRNA". It matches the Rfam family "tRNA". From Rfam's summary of the family: Transfer RNA (tRNA) molecules are approximately 80 nucleotides in length. Their secondary structure includes four short double-helical elements and three loops (D, anti-codon, and T loops). Further hydrogen bonds mediate the characteristic L-shaped molecular structure. tRNAs have two regions of fundamental functional importance: the anti-codon, which is responsible for specific mRNA codon recognition, and the 3' end, to which the tRNAs corresponding amino acid is attached (by aminoacyl-tRNA synthetases). tRNAs cope with the degeneracy of the genetic code in two manners: having more than one tRNA (with a specific anti-codon) for a particular amino acid; and 'wobble' base-pairing, i.e. permitting non-standard base-pairing at the 3rd anti-codon position. Lineage: Eukaryota; Metazoa; Chordata; Mammalia; Rodentia; Sciuridae. The record is from Rfam by way of RNAcentral. RNAcentral also lists the same sequence under 1 other name.